UCUAUACUAUAUUUGCAAUUUGUGUCUUAAUUUAAAAAUCACCUCAAAACCAAAAGUGUGAGCAUCUUGAGGAGAAGACCUUGGCAGUCAGGGUACAUUUUCUAGCUAUUUGGUUAUAAAAUAUCUUUGAAAGAACUGGGUGAACAAAUAUAAAGAAAUGUCAGUGAAUUUUAAACCAGGAAAGUGUCUACAGAGACUGAUCUAUUAAAAAAAAAAAGAAAGAAAAAGAAAAGAAAAGAAAGAAAGAAAGAAAGAAACAACAUGAUCUUGCUGCUGGUUCUGCACUGGCAGCCCUUCUCUCCACUGUUUCCUUCCUUGAUGAUGCUGAUAAAGAGGAAGAGCUAGCUAUGCGGGGAGUGGGGGACAUAAAGCCUGUAUCACUAGCAAAGGACAGGAUACUUGUAUAUAGUAUAACUACAUGUCAUUUGUUUUAAAAAGAAUCAAAUCAUAAAUAAAUGAGUCACAUUUGUACAUGCUCUCAGUUGGCAUGACAGUGAUUUUCAAAAUAUUUAGGACCAUUACCAAGCCUCUAUUAAAUGUUUCAGAAGGGAUCUGUUCUGAAUAACAUUAUUAAUAUUUACUAAAUAUAUUUUG
Molecule: long non-coding RNA, 594 nt
Filed under: Marmota monax (woodchuck)
Lineage: Eukaryota; Metazoa; Chordata; Mammalia; Rodentia; Sciuridae
Source: RNAcentral